Molecule: ribosomal RNA, 252 nt
Filed under: uncultured bacterium
Lineage: Bacteria
Description: partial 16S ribosomal RNA
Rfam family: Bacterial small subunit ribosomal RNA
Source: RNAcentral
UACGUAGGGGGCAAGCGUUGUCCGGAAUUAUUGGGCGUAAAGCGCGCGCAGGCGGCUAUUUAAGUCUGGUGUUUAAACCUUGGGCUCAACCUGAGGUCGCACUGGAAACUGGGUGGCUUGAGUUCAGAAGAGGAAAGUGGAAUUCCACGUGUAGCGGUGAAAUGCGUAGAUAUGUGGAGGAACACCAGUGGCGAAGGCGACUUUCUGGGCUGUAACUGACGCUGAGGCGCGAAAGCGUGGGGAGCAAACAGG